Non-coding RNA from Equus caballus (horse), 3629 nucleotides. The record is from the annotation of a RefSeq genome assembly. Lineage: Eukaryota; Metazoa; Chordata; Mammalia; Perissodactyla; Equidae.
GCCCCUGAGAAGCAGCCUCUGGUUCAACUCUCAGAGAUGGGGUCAAGGGCUUCACUGCUGUGGAUCCUGCUGCUCUGGGUUCCAGGCUCUACUGGGGACAUUGUGCUGACCCAGUCUCCAGCCUCCUUGACGGUGUCUCCAGGUCAGAGCGCCACCAUUUCCUGCACGGCCAGUCAGAGUGUUCUUUCUCCUCCCAGCUAUGACCUUAACUGGUAUCAACAGAAACCAGGACAGGGUCCUAAACUCCUGAUCUCUUCAGCCUCCAAGCUAAAGUCUGGGGUCCCAGCCAGGUUCAGUGGCAGUGGGUCUGGGACUGAUUUCACCCUCACAAUUAAUCCUGUGGAGGAGGCCGAUGCUGCAAACUACUACUGCCAGCAGGGUAAGGAGUCUCCUCCCACAGUGAUCCGGGUCUAAACAAAAACCUCUCGAGGCAGCUGCUCACUGAGGCUCAACUCUCUCAGAUGCUCCUCCCCACCGGGACCUCAACCCCCUGUGUCUAGAUUAUUUGGAGAAUGAGGUCAAACUAUGAACCAGAAAAUUCUCACACCAAUGUGUACGUACAUGUGCCCCACAUGACCUGUUUUAUAAUUUAGUUCUCUUAUUACUACAGACCUCACACGAAAGAUCUCUGUAGUUGUUUUAGAAAACUAAGAAUUGUGACGUAGUUAUUUUUUCCCCUUUGAUUUCUCUAUCUUUGUGUUAUUCCCCCAAACUAGGUCUUCAGUUCUAGAUAUAUUUACUUGUCCUUUUCUUCUCAUCCAAAAUUUUAUGUUCUUUUUCUGUGAUACAGAUGGUCGAGGUCUACUCUUGUCUUCUCUCUUUUGUCUGUUUCUGUUUUAUCUGUUUCCUCAUCAGUUGGACAAGAUACUUUAUGUGUCCCCAGAGACGUUGGUGGGGGUUACAUAUGGAAGAAGUAUGCAAAUUAUAUGGUGUGUGGUAGUGGGUCAGGGAGACAGUGAUUAAAUGGCAGAGUGUGGAACUUCACGCAUGAGCUCUAGGUGGUGCUCUCAUCACAGCUCUACUUAGUUUCAAAAGGGUUAUGACUAAAAUUCAAACUCCUGGCAACUAUCAUCAUCUCUCCUUUCCUUUGCUUUUUUGCAACAACACUUUUAUUAUUCUGCGGGAUUCAGUGCUGCAUCUUCAGCCAUUCUGAUGCGAAAUAACAGGCCAGUGACAGCCGCCAUGACAAUACUCCCGACAUCACCAACGGUUGCAUCUCUCUGGGUCCCGUACUUAGGAUCCUGUUCUACUUACUUUACACAUGGUUGAAUACAGGAUCUUUAACAGUUUCCAACCGUACGCUUGGUUCCAUGAAUACUUAGCUCUCUUUUGUGAUAGUUACACACAUACAUUAGAUUAUGUGUAAUAGGACUAAUAGGGCACAUGUGUAUGGUGAUGGAAGGUAAUUAGUCUUUGGGUAGUGAACAUGAUGUAGUCUACACAGAAAUUGAAAUAUAAUGAUUUACACCUGAAAUUUACAUAAUGUUAUAAUCCAGUGUUAUCUCAAUAAAAAAAAGAAAUUCUGCUUACCUGAUUUCAUUCUCCUAGAGCGGAAUGUGAAUAAUGGGCUGGGGUAUUCCUUGCUGUUGAAACAGAGAGCAUUCACAAGAAGGUUUGAAGCUUCAGUUUUGCACAUGUCUAGUACAUAUCGGUGGAAAACAGGACCAGCUACAUAAUUUGUGAGCCUCAGCGUAAAACGACAUGCCUUUAAAUGAUGGACUAUGGUAGAAGUAAUAGGAUGCCACAUCAGAUAUAAGGUCAGAAAAGCCCAUGGCUUCCGUCUUGGACACGUUUGCUCUUUGUCUUUUGACUCAUUAUCCCUGGGACAAGCCAGCUGCCAUGCCGUGGGACCACCUUGUGGUAAGGGAAUGAAGCUUGCCGUUAACCAUGUAAGUGAGAUUGAUGUGGGUCUCUCCCAACCAGUAGAGCUCUGGCCAGUAGCUUGACUGUAAACUCAUGCAGAAGUUUGAGCCAGAGUCACCCCUCUGAUCUGUGCUUGAAUUCUUUCAGAAUCUGUAACAUAAUAAACGUUUGCUGUUUUAAGCUUCUAGUUUUGGAUAUCUGCUGACACAUCAACUGAUAACUUAUUCAGAUUUUGGUAACUGGAGGUGAGCUGCUUGGACUGAGGGGGCAGAGGCGUUACAGAAUGAAGAAAGGAUUUGGAAUCCAGACUUGUAUAAGUAGGAAGCAGCCUGAAAAUACCACUUAGCUGCAAACCCUUGCUACUCUUCAUCAAAAUAGAAGGGUGACACAGAGGGCAGAACCAAAAGCUGAGCCAAAAUCCAUGAUAAAUUAUUCUGGGACCUCAGACCUAAUCGAGCAUCUUCCAACAUCUGCCCGACUGCACUUCAUUGUUGCUGUGGACCAGAGAGUCCUUUGUGCUACCCGUUUCCUCCUUUUUGAAGAGGAAUUGCUAUGUUGUUAUGAUAUCCCUGUCUUACCGCUGUAUGUUAAGUGUGUGGAGGAAGAAUUCUUGUGCCUUUUCUUUCACAUGUCUAGAAAUUGAGAGGACCUGUACUUGAGGAUCCAUGCUUCAGGAACUACACCAGAGCAGCCUCGUCUGCACUUAGAUGUGAUUCAGAUAAUGAGAAUCUGGACUUUGAGCUGAUGCUGUAAUGGGAUAAGACUUUUGCAGACCUAAGAUUUCGGUUAGUAUAUUUUGAGUGCGAAAGGACGUCAACCACUAAAGGCCAGAGGUCAGGAUCAUAUGAACUCCAGAUGAAGCACUCACUAGCUUCGUAAUAUGUACUUUGGGAAAGAUUUUCAAAUACUAGUUUUGUAGCUUAUUAAUGUACUUUUCAUAAUGUGCAGGAUGAUGACAAAAAGGUGUGUUGAUUUGGAUACCACCAUGUACGUCCUUGGGAUCACACAGUAAUUUAUCUGGAUUUAACCCGAACCUCUGAGUUAUGCAGUACUGAGUAAUGCAGUACGCUUUCUCUGUUCUGGGAAUUAAAUAAUGUGAUUCUUCUUUUUCUUCUGUCAAUCCAAGUAAUGUUUAAUAUUCAGACAUUUCCCACACUUUAUUGGAAGAUAACACACAAUGAAAAAACAGACAAGUCAUAAGCCUAUUGCUUAUGGAUGUUAAAAAGAUAGGAUAUUAUAAAAAAAAUUUAGGCAUAAAAUGUGCAACCUGAAGAAAAAAAGGAUAGAUUAAAACACACACACACAUAUAAACACAAAAAUUCUCCAAUAUUCAUAUAUGGAAAAUGUCCCAUAUCUACUAAAGAAACUAGAGGCUGAAAAGAAGACUACAAGAUAACAUAGGAUAGAAAUCCAGUGAUGGAAGUCAGUAGAGGUGAAAAUGCAUCAUAAUUUCCUAUUCUAUAAUACGCAGACUGAGAUGUGGUGCUCAAUUUUUGCUGAAUAUGAUGUAUAGAAAUAAUAUAGAUCCUGUUUGUGAGCCAACCCAUAUUGUAAUGCUUUCUCGUGUGAUUGUAGACAAAUUAUUCAUUUUUUAAGCUCAAAUAUUAUUAUUUUAAAAACCUGAACUAUGAGAAUCCUUAUGAAGUAAUGAAAUGUAAAAUUAGACAAUCCUCCUAAAAGAGCUAAUUUCCUUUCUCAGCAGGUCAAGAUGACUCUAGAAUUUGUGUACAAGUUAGUCUGUUUAUACCUCGAUUUCUUCCUCCAAA